Molecule: small RNA, 62 nt
Filed under: Tetranychus urticae (two-spotted spider mite)
Lineage: Eukaryota; Metazoa; Arthropoda; Arachnida; Trombidiformes; Tetranychidae
Description: sRNA tetur06g06491
Source: RNAcentral
CCAGGGUGCUGUACUUAGUAGAGUAGUUAUCAUACUGCGAUCUAUUGAGGCUCAGCCUUUGA